Molecule: ribosomal RNA, 806 nt
Filed under: uncultured bacterium
Lineage: Bacteria
Description: bacterial SSU rRNA
Rfam family: Bacterial small subunit ribosomal RNA
Source: RNAcentral
AGUCGAGGGGUAUAGUAGCAAUACUAGAGACCGGCGCACGGGUGCGUAACGCGUAUGCAAUCUACCUUUUGCAGAGGGAUAGCCCAGAGAAAUUUGGAUUAAUACCUCAUAGUAUAACGACUCGGCAUCGAGAUGUUAUUAAAGUCACAACGGCAAAAGAUGAGCAUGCGUCCCAUUAGUUAGUUGGUAAGGUAACGGCUUACCAAGACUACGAUGGGUAGGGGUCCUGAGAGGGAGAUCCCCCACACUGGUACUGAGACACGGACCAGACUCCUACGGGAGGCAGCAGUGAGGAAUAUUGGACAAUGGGCGCAAGCCUGAUCCAGCCAUGCCGCGUGCAGGAUGACGGUCCUAUGGAUUGUAAACUGCUUUUGCACGGGAAGAAACAACGCUACGUGUAGCGUCUUGACGGUACUGUGAGAAUAAGGAUCGGCUAACUCCGUGCCAGCAGCCGCGGUAAUACGGAGGAUCCAAGCGUUAUCCGGAAUCAUUGGGUUUAAAGGGUCCGUAGGCGGUCUUAUAAGUCAGUGGUGAAAUCUCCCCGCUCAACGGGGAAACGGCCAUUGAUACUGUAGGACUUGAAUUAUUAGGAAGUAACUAGAAUAUGUAGUGUAGCGGUGAAAUGCUUAGAGAUUACAUGGAAUACCAAUUGCGAAGGCAGGUUACUACUUGUGGAUUGACGCUGAUGGACGAAAGCGUGGGGAGCGAACAGGAUUAGAUACCCUGGUAGUCCACGCCGUAAACGAUGGAUACUAGCUGUUGGGCGCAAGCUCAGUGGCUAAGCGAAAGUGAUAAGUAUCCCACCU